RNAcentral lists this long non-coding RNA (3667 nucleotides) under Homo sapiens (human). The record is from RNAcentral. Lineage: Eukaryota; Metazoa; Chordata; Mammalia; Primates; Hominidae.
CUCAAACUCCCUGCACCUUAGACUAGGCAGCUGAGAGAAGCCCCUAGAAAAGCUCAUUUUUAAUUUUGAACCAUAAAGAAUUAUAUACUAACUGUGCCAUGAAACUGAUAUAUUAGAGGAAAAUUUUAUUUGGCGUUUGUAAUUUAAUAUUAAUUUUGACCAUUUUUAGGCUUCCCUCUUGUCUGGAGGAAAAAGAAAAAAGAGAACCAGACUUAGACACAACUUCUUGUGGGCACAUAUUCAGAAGGCAUCUCACUGGAGAGGGUUUAGUUCUCCUUAGCAGAAGAUAAGAUUUCAAGAUUUCAGCUAAGACUCAUCUCUCUGCAAAUCUUUCUUUUGAGAGGAAGAACACACUUAGUGGUACAGCUUGGUGAGUUUUGAUAUGCACACAUGCAUGUAACUACCACUCCGGAUCAAGAUGAUAAGGAACAUCCCUAUCACUUCAGAAGGUGCCUUUUGCUCCACCCAGAGCAUCUUCACCAGGAGGAGAUUCCAUCUCAAGAGACCACUUUCACUGCUCAUAUGUAAGAAGCAACUCUUCAUCUGUUCAAGUUUGAUCAUGAGAGUGCGGCAAUUCAGUCACAACUUCAGGCUCCACUUCUAGUUCUAGUUCUCUUGCUGUUUCCACCACAUCUACAGCGACUUCCUCCACUGAAGACGUGAACCCCUGAAAGUCAUCUAUGGGGGUUGGAAUCAAUGUCUUUCACACUCCUGUUAAUGUUGGUAUUUUGACCUCCUCCCAUGAAUUACAAAUGUUCCUAAUGGCAUCUAGAAUAAUGACUACUUUCCAGAAGCUUUUCAAUUUGCUUUGCUCAGAUCCAUCAAUGGAAUCACUAUCAAUGGUAGCUAUAUAAACUAUAUAAGGCUAUAUAUAUAUAUAUAGCUAUUUCUUAAUAGCCUUAUGAAAUAUAUUUCUUAAUAAGACUUGAAAGUCUUGGUCCAUGGACUGCAGAAUGGAUGUUUGUGUUAGCAGGGAUGAAAACAACAUGAAUAUUCUCGUACAUCUCCAACACAGCUCUUGAUCGACAUGGUGCAGAGCAGUAAUAUUUUGAAAGGAAUCUUUUUUUCUGAGCAAUAGUUCUCAAUAGUGGGCUUGAAAUAUUCAGUAAACCAUGCUGUAAACAGAUGUGUUGUCAUCCAGGCUUUAUUGUUCCAUUUAUGGAGCACAGAUAGAGUAGAUUUCGCAUAAUUCUUAAUGACACCAGGAUUUACAAAAUAGUAAAUGAACAUUUACUUCAACUUAAAGUCAUCAGCUGCAUUCACCUCUAAAAAGAGAGUCAGCCUGUCCUGUGGAGCUUUGCAGCUUGCCUUGACAUCUCCUCUCUAGCUGUGAAAGUCCUGGAUGGCAUCUUCUUCCAACAUAAGACUGUUUUGUCUACACUGAAAAUCUGUUGUUUCGUGUAGACACUUUCAUCAAUUAUCUUAUCUAGAUUUUCUGGAUAACUUGCCACAGCUUCUCCCUUUGCACUUGCUGCUUCAUCUUGCAUUUUUAUGUUAUGGAGAUGUUGUCUUUCAUUAAACCUCACAAACCAACCUCCGCUAGCUUCAAACUUUUCUUCUGCAGCUUCCUCACCUCUCUCCGCCUUCAUAGCAUUGAAGAGAGUUAGAGUCUUGCUCUGGAUUAGGCUUUGACUUAAGGAAAUGUUGUGGCUGGUUGGAUCUUUUCUCCAGACCACUCAAACUUUCUCCAUAUUAGCAAUAUGGCUGCUUUGUUUUCUCUUCAUUUGCAUGUUCCCUGGAGUAGAGCUUAAAUAUCCUUCAAGAACUUUUCCUGUGAAGUCGCAAUUUGGCUAACUGGUGCAGAGGUGAGCUUUUGGCCUUGACUUUCAAUAUGUCCUCCUUACUAAGCUUAAUCAUUUCUAGAUUUUGAUUUAAAGUGAGAGACGUGGGACUUUUCCCUUCACUUGAACACUUAGAGGCCAUUGUAGGGUUAUUAAUUGGCUUAAUUUCAAUAUUAUUGUGUCUUGGGCUGGGCACAGUGGCUCAUGCCUGUAAUCCCAGCCCUUUGGGAAGCUGAGGCAGGUGGAUUGUUUGAGUCUAGGAGUUUAAGGCCAGCCUGGGCAACAUGGCAAAACCCUGUCUCUCCUAAAAAUACAAAAAAAAAAUUAGCCGGGUGUGAUGGUGCACACCUGUAGUCCCAGCUUGGGAGGCUGAAGUGGGAGAAUCACCUGAGCCUGGGGAGGCAGAGGUUGCAGUGAGCUGAAAUCACAUCAUUGCACUCCAGCCUGGGCAAUCAGAGUGCGACUCUGCCUCAAAAAAAAAAUAUAUAUAUAUAUAUAUAUAAUUGUUAUAAAUAUAUAUAUAUAUAAUUGUUAUAUAUACAUUAUUGUGUCUCAGGAACAGGCAGUCCAUGGAGCAGUCAGAACACACACAACAUUUAUUGAUUGUUUGCCAUCUUACAUGGGUGCACUUCAUGGUGCCCCAAAACAACUACAAUAGUGACAUCAAAGAUCACUGAUCACAGAUUACCAUAACAGAUAUAGAAAUAAUGACAAAGUUUGAAAUAUUGGGAGAAUUACCAAAAUGUGACACAGAGAUGUAAAACAAGCACAUGCUGUUGGAAAAACAGCACCAAUAGACUUGCUCGAGGCAGGGUUGCCACAAACCUUCAAUUUGUAAACAACAACAACAACAACAAAAACAAUAUCUGUAAAGCACAAUAAGACAAGGUAUGUCUAUAUUUGCCCUUUUUCCUAACACUCCUCUCCCACUUCUCAAUGCUAGUCCAUGCCUAGAAGAGGGAGGUACAAGAAUUCCCCACAAGGUAGACCACUAGGCACGUGCUGUGGAGGAUGGAGCAGGAGGGGACAUAGGGACAGAAUGCACCCCCUCCUCUAGGCAGGGCCCUCCAGAAUCCAGUCAACCCUAAGGCCCCAUUGAAACAAUGACUGGAGAGAAAUGAAAUAAUUUCAUAUUGUGAGCUGAUUACAUUAGGAUGUGUUAUAAGGGAUAGUAUGAAAUAAGAUGUUAGUCCAUGCCCUUACCCUUGCUUGCUGAGCUGCUGGGCCUGCAGAGCCUUUCAGGUGCUGGGAGGGAGAGGUUUUUCCCAGCAUAACCCUCGGCUCACAUCUCACUGUGGCUCCAGGCUGGGGCUGCCAAGGCCGGACCUUGCAUUACAGGACUCUGUUUACACACACACACACACACACACACACACACACACACACACACACACAGAGUGCCGAAGUGGCAAUGUCUGAAGAAAUUUCCAGCCUCAUUCCUCCCAUGCCUGGAACCAAUCUCUUCUCCUCAAUUCAUGCACUGUCUUCCAGAGGUCAGCUCACCAGCCCAUACUCCUUCUGUCACAGUGUGGCCCCUCUGGGUGGCCCUUGGUGGUUUUUCCUGUGGGCUAAUCUCACCUGAAGCCUUUUCAAUUUGUCAGGGAAGUUUUCAUAAUGAGCAAAAACAAAAGAGGAAGGAAGGAUGGGCUCUUGAAGGUUUACUUUCUGGAGGCUUCGGGGCCUCUUUGCAAAAUGCUCCAACCUCCCCAGCUGCUGGGGAUAUCACAGAUCAAGGGAGGUGGCAUGGGGUGGGCUAUGCCAAGACCCUUCCUUACCAAAAAGUCUUCAGACACUCAUCCCUCAGAAUGAUGAUGAGGGAUCAUCAUCUUCCACCUGCUUAACUCGAACAGCCUACUCAAAUGUCCCCAGAAUAAACGAGACUUGAG